UACGAAGGGGGCUAGCGUUGCUCGGAAUCACUGGGCGUAAAGCGCACGUAGGCGGCUUCUUAAGUCAGGGGUGAAAUCCUGGAGCUCAACUCCAGAACUGCCUUUGAUACUGGGAGGCUCGAGUCCGGGAGAGGUGAGUGGAACCGCGAGUGUAGAGGUGAAAUUCGUAGAUAUUCGCAAGAACACCAGUGGCGAAGGCGGCUCACUGGCCCGGUACUGACGCUGAGGUGCGAAAGCGUGGGGAGCAAACGGG
This 253-nucleotide ribosomal RNA is filed under the name uncultured bacterium. RNAcentral's name for it is "partial 16S ribosomal RNA". It matches the Rfam family "Bacterial small subunit ribosomal RNA", at positions 524 to 776 of the family's 1533-position model. The record is from RNAcentral.